GGGCAAUUAGCUCAGUUGGUUAGAGCGCAUGCCUCACAUGCAUGAGGUCAGGGGUUCGAUUCCCUUAUUGCCCACCA
RNAcentral lists this transfer RNA (77 nucleotides) under Clostridia bacterium. RNAcentral's name for it is "tRNA-Val". It matches the Rfam family "tRNA". Rfam says of the family: Transfer RNA (tRNA) molecules are approximately 80 nucleotides in length. Their secondary structure includes four short double-helical elements and three loops (D, anti-codon, and T loops). Further hydrogen bonds mediate the characteristic L-shaped molecular structure. tRNAs have two regions of fundamental functional importance: the anti-codon, which is responsible for specific mRNA codon recognition, and the 3' end, to which the tRNAs corresponding amino acid is attached (by aminoacyl-tRNA synthetases). tRNAs cope with the degeneracy of the genetic code in two manners: having more than one tRNA (with a specific anti-codon) for a particular amino acid; and 'wobble' base-pairing, i.e. permitting non-standard base-pairing at the 3rd anti-codon position. Lineage: Bacteria; Bacillati; Bacillota; Clostridia. RNAcentral also lists the same sequence under 1 other name. The record is from RNAcentral.